AUCCUCCCCGGCGGCCCCAUUCUGGUAUUUGGUUUACAUUAAAAGCCUUAGAAAAUCAAGCGAAAGAGCCAUUCUUGCCUCAGAUAUCAAGAAAUUAUCUGAGAAUCAAGGAUGAAAAGAUGACAGUUCGAUUGGUUAUGAAGUAUUUGGUUAAUAAGCUGCAUCUGGAUAGCGAAUCAGAGAUAGAGAUAAGAUGUAGAGGGCAAGAGAUGCUUCCAUUUUGGACAUUGCAGCAUGUAAGAGAUAACAUUUGGACAACUUCCUCUUCUUCUUCUUCAUCAGACUCACUCUUCACUUUGCUUCCUGACUCCUCAACUACACACCACCUAAUGCUCCUUCACUAUGGAAGAAAGGCUUAAUCAUGCUUCUAAUUAAUUAUUUUUUUAUUUAUUUCCCCAAUAUGAUUUUUUUCCCCUUUUUUCAAUGGUUUCUCCUCCAAUUCUCUUGUGCUACUCCCUUUAUUUGCUAUAUUAUUUCAACUUCUCUUUUCCUCUUUCUCGUAGUUCUUGGAAUAUUAAAACAUUUUGACAUGGUUAAUUAGGGGUUAUUUGAGAUUCAUGCAUAAUUAGUAGGUUUGACUUCAUGUUUUGAAUUGAUUGUGGUGGAUAUACGUGUAAUUGAAGUGUUGUUCAAUUUG
Momordica charantia (bitter melon) is the source of this 637-nucleotide non-coding RNA. NCBI's taxonomy places the organism in Eukaryota, Viridiplantae, Streptophyta, Magnoliopsida, Cucurbitales, Cucurbitaceae. The record is from RefSeq and is a predicted model, not a curated record.